RNAcentral lists this unclassified non-coding RNA (21 nucleotides) under Mus musculus (house mouse). RNAcentral's name for it is "oocyte_clustered_small_RNA12251". Lineage: Eukaryota; Metazoa; Chordata; Mammalia; Rodentia; Muridae. The record is from RNAcentral.
GAACCUCAACCAGCCCAACCA